RNAcentral lists this ribosomal RNA (253 nucleotides) under uncultured bacterium. Its description in RNAcentral is "partial 16S ribosomal RNA". It matches the Rfam family "Bacterial small subunit ribosomal RNA", at positions 524 to 776 of the family's 1533-position model. The record is from RNAcentral.
UACGUAGGGGGCUAGCGUUGCUCGGAAUCACUGGGCGUAAAGCGCACGUAGGCGGGUCGUUAAGUCAGGGGUGAAAUCCUGGAGCUCAACUCCAGAACUGCCUUUGAUACUGGCGAUCUCGAGUUCGGGAGAGGUGAGUGGAACUGCGAGUGUAGAGGUGAAAUUCGUAGAUAUUCGCAAGAACACCAGUGGCGAAGGCGGCUCACUGGCCCGAUACUGACGCUGAGGUGCGAAAGCGUGGGGAGCAAACAGG